Mauremys reevesii (Reeves's turtle) is the source of this 1227-nucleotide long non-coding RNA. RefSeq lists it as uncharacterized. The transcript is spliced from 3 exons. The record is from RefSeq and is a predicted model, not a curated record. Lineage: Eukaryota; Metazoa; Chordata; Testudines; Geoemydidae.
UUGGCCAGAGUGGAGGCUGUUUUCAGAGCUCCACUCCUACUUCCUCAGCUGCCAAGCAAGCAAACACACAAACAGCUGGCUCAUCACAGGAGCAAAAAUGGCUAUCCAAUCAAUCAGCAGUGGAGAAAAAAAAAGAAAAAAAAAAACAUGUUGUCAGAAGAUGACUAAUUUUGAACCAGUAUGAAUAGGACAAAAGAAAAUGUCCUGAGUUCCAUUAUGAUAAGUCUUGAGAAUGGCGUGAGUGGAAGGAGCACUUCAACAGAUUCUGAACCACAGUGGAGCUUAACACAGAGAGUGAAUAAGUACAGGAGGAUUACCAUCGGCCCAUGGAACGUGAGGACCAUUUAUGAGUCAGGAAAGACGGCGCAGGCUGCAGCAGAGAUGAGGAGCAACAACCUGACCCUACUAGGCAUUAGCGAGACCAACUAACAUCACUAGACAGGCACUGCGGUGGAACCCCCCAAGUCAAGCGGAAAAGAGGCUGUCCAAGAAACACCUGGUGACGCAACCUUCAGGCUGAUAGCAAAAAAAUGGGCUAUACCUGGAACCAGCUAGAGCGCAGGAUAGAGGACUCUGGAGAUCUGUGGUUGGCGGCCCAUACCCCGAUUGGGGUGACGGGCAUGAGUGAGUGAGUGAGUUUUGUGGGUAAACCCCCCCCCACUCCUUCAGAUGCAUAGAGUGAAAAUUACAAAUACAGGCAUAAAUAUACUGGCACAUGAAGUGAGGUUCAUAGAGUGAGAUUCUUUCCCUUGUUCUGAUCCAUUUAUGCUGGGCAAAAGGCUGAAGUUGCCUAAGAAGUUCUAAAAGCCCCAGAUCUGGCCAGAGAGAAUUCCUCUCAGGACACUAUCAGAAACCCUUGUGUAGGGGUGGUGUUAGGGGCCAGAGAGGUGUUUUGGGGCAAGGUCACAGUACAAAGCAUGUAUUGAUUCUGGACAAUGCCACCGCCCAUAGAGCAGUUCGGGGAGGCAGCUGUGACCUUAGCCCCGCACACCCCUGGGCUCUGAGUUUUGUGCUGUGCUUCUAAGAGGCACAACACAUAAUCUCAUGCAUAAUGCUUAAAAAAACCUGAUCAGCAUUAAAUCCUAUGAAUGAACAGGUGUGCAUUUAUCCAACGAUGCAGAGGCAUGGGGAAAGAGUGGGAACCUUUAUAAGGACCCUGUAGAAACAAGUAGAGCAUUGUGACUUCACUAUCAAUAAUGUACAGCCCAUCUAAUAGUUGAGAUUGUA